This 1384-nucleotide ribosomal RNA is filed under the name metagenome. Its description in RNAcentral is "bacterial SSU rRNA". It matches the Rfam family "Bacterial small subunit ribosomal RNA". The record is from RNAcentral.
GGUCUGGCGGCGAGUGGCGAACGGGUGAGUAAUGCAUCGGAACGUACCUUUCAGUGGGGGAUAACGUAGCGAAAGUUACGCUAAUACCGCAUAUUCUGUGAGCAGGAAAGCAGGGGAUCGCAAGACCUUGCGCUGACGGAGCGGCCGAUGUCAGAUUAGCUAGUUGGUGGGGUAAAGGCUCACCAAGGCGACGAUCUGUAGCGGGUCUUAGAGGAUGAUCCGCCACACUGGAACUGAGACACGGUCCAGACUCCUACGGGAGGCAGCAGUGGGGAAUUUUGGACAAUGGGCGCAAGCCUGAUCCAGCCAUGCCGCGUGAGUGAAGAAGGCCUUCGGGUUGUAAAGCUCUUUCGGCCGGGAAAAAAUCGCUUGGGUUAAUACCCUGAGUGGAUGAUGGUACCGGAAUAAGAAGCACCGGCUAACUACGUGCCAGCAGCCGCGGUAAUACGUAGGGUGCGAGCGUUAAACGGAAUUACUGGGCGUAAAGCGUGCGCAGGCGGUUUUGUAAGACAGGCGUGAAAUCCCCGGGCUCAACCUGGGAACUGCGUUUGUGACUGCAAGGCUAGAGUAUGGCAGAGGGGGGUGGAAUUCCACGUGUAGCAGUGAAAUGCGUAGAGAUGUGGAGGAACACCAAUGGCGAAGGCAGCCCCCUGGGCCAAUACUGACGCUCAUGCACGAAAGCGUGGGGAGCAAACAGGAUUAGAUACCCUGGUAGUCCACGCCCUAAACGAUGUCAACUAUGUGUUGGGUGGGUAAAACCAUUUGGUACCGUAGCUAACGCGUGAAGUUGACCGCCUGGGGAGUACGGCCGCAAGGUUAAAACUCAAAGGAAUUGACGGGGACCCGCACAAGUGUGGAUGAUGUGGAUUAAUUCGAUGCAACGCGAAAAACCUUACCUACCCUUGACAUGCCAGGAACUUGCCAGAGAUGGCUUGGUGCCCGAAAGGGAGCCUGGACACAGGUGCUGCAUGGCUGUCGUCAGCUCGUGUCGUGAGAUGUUGGGUUAAGUCCCGCAACGAGCGCAACCCUUGUCGUUAAUUGCCAUCAUUUAGUUGGGCACUUUAACGAGACUGCCGGUGACAAACCGGAGGAAGGUGGAUGACGUCAAGUCCUCAUGGCCCUUAUGGGUAGGGCUUCACACGUCAUACAAUGGUCGGUACAAAGGGUUGCCAAGCCGCGAGGCGGAGCCAAUCCCAGAAAGCCGAUCGUAGUCCGGAUCGCAGGCUGCAACUCGCCUGCGUGAAGUCGGAAUCGCUAGUAAUCGUGGAUCAGCAUGUCACGGUGAAUACGUUCCCGGGUCUUGUACACACCGCCCGUCACACCAUGGGAGCGGGUUCCGCCAGAAGUAGGUAGCCUAACCGCAAGGAGGGCGCUUACCACGGCG